UACGAGCGGCCCAAACGUUAUUCGGAAUUACUGGGCUUAAAGAGUUCGUAGGCGGCAUUGCAAGUAGGGCGUGAAAGCCCUCGGCUCAACCGAGGAAUUGCGCUCUAAACUGCAGUGCUUGAGGAACCUAGAGGUGAGCAGAACAGAUGGUGGAGCGGUGAAAUGCGUUGAUAUCAUCUGGAAUACCGGAGGCGAAGGCGGCUCACUGGGAGUUUUCUGACGCUGAGGAACGAAAGCCAGGGUAGCGAACGGG
RNAcentral lists this ribosomal RNA (253 nucleotides) under uncultured bacterium. RNAcentral's name for it is "partial 16S ribosomal RNA". It matches the Rfam family "Bacterial small subunit ribosomal RNA", at positions 524 to 776 of the family's 1533-position model. The record is from RNAcentral.